This 836-nucleotide ribosomal RNA is filed under the name Dactylosporangium sp. IM-7022. RNAcentral describes it as "bacterial SSU rRNA". It matches the Rfam family "Bacterial small subunit ribosomal RNA", at positions 38 to 889 of the family's 1533-position model. The record is from RNAcentral. Lineage: Bacteria; Bacillati; Actinomycetota; Actinomycetes; Micromonosporales; Micromonosporaceae.
GGCGGCGUGCUUAACACAUGCAAGUCGAGCGGAAAGGCCCUUCGGGGUACUCGAGCGGCGAACGGGUGAGUAACACGUGAGUAACCUCCCCCAGGCUUUGGGAUAACCCUCGGAAACGGGGGCUAAUACCGGAUAUUCAUUCCUAGCGGCAUCGUUGGGUGUGGAAAGUUUUUCGGCUUGGGAUGGGCUCGCGGCCUAUCAGCUUGUUGGUGGGGUGAUGGCCUACCAAGGCGACGACGGGUAGCCGGCCUGAGAGGGCGACCGGCCACACUGGGACUGAGACACGGCCCAGACUCCUACGGGAGGCAGCAGUGGGGAAUAUUGCACAAUGGGCGGAAGCCUGAUGCAGCGACGCCGCGUGAGGGAUGAAGGCCUUCGGGUUGUAAACCUCUUUCGACAGGGACGAAGCGCAAGUGACGGUACCUGGAGAAGAAGCGCCGGCCAACUACGUGCCAGCAGCCGCGGUAAGACGUAGGGCGCGAGCGUUGUCCGGAUUUAUUGGGCGUAAAGAGCUCGUAGGCGGCUUGUUGCGUCAGCUGUGAAAACCCGCAGCUCAACUGUGGGCUUGCAGCUGAUACGGGCAGGCUUGAGUUCGGUAGGGGAGACUGGAAUUCCUGGUGUAGCGGUGAAAUGCGCAGAUAUCAGGAGGAACACCGGUGGCGAAGGCGGGUCUCUGGGCCGAUACUGACGCUGAGGAGCGAAAGCGUGGGGAGCGAACAGGAUUAGAUACCCUGGUAGUCCACGCUGUAAACGUUGGGCGCUAGGUGUGGGGGGCCUCUCCGGUCCUCUGUGCCGCAGCUAACGCAUUAAGCGCCCCGCCUGGGGAGUACGGCCGC